UACGUAGGGUGCAAGCGUUAAUCGGAAUUACUGGGCGUAAAGCGUGCGCAGGCGGCUAUGCAAGACAGAUGUGAAAUCCCCGGGCUCAACCUGGGAACUGCAUUUGUGACUGCAUAGCUAGAGUACGGUAGAGGGGGAUGGAAUUCCGCGUGUAGCAGUGAAAUGCGUAGAUAUGCGGAGGAACACCGAUGGCCGAAGGCAAUCCCCUGGACCUGUACUGACGCUCAUGCACGAAAGGACGUGGGGAGCAAACAGG
This 256-nucleotide ribosomal RNA is filed under the name uncultured bacterium. RNAcentral describes it as "partial 16S ribosomal RNA". It matches the Rfam family "Bacterial small subunit ribosomal RNA", at positions 524 to 776 of the family's 1533-position model. The record is from RNAcentral.